Molecule: ribosomal RNA, 467 nt
Filed under: uncultured bacterium
Lineage: Bacteria
Description: partial 16S ribosomal RNA
Rfam family: Bacterial small subunit ribosomal RNA
Source: RNAcentral
GACGAACGCUGGCGGCGGGCCUAACACAUGCAAGUCGAACGGAAAGGCCUCUUUCGGGGGGUACUCGAGUGGCGAACGGGUGAGUAACACGUGAGUAACUGGCUCUUGACUUGGGGAUAAGUUCAGGAAAGGGGGCCUAAUACCGGAUAGGAGCUACUGCUGCAUGGUGGGGGUUGGAAAGUUUCGGCGGUGGGGGAUGGACUCGCGGCUUAUCAGCUUGUUGGGGGGUUAGUCGCUUACCGAGGCUUUGACGGGUAGGCGGCCGGUGAGGGUGACCGGCCACACUGAGACUUACAGGCGGCCGAGGCUGCGAAGGUAGGCCGCUGUGCGGAAGACUGAACCAUCGAUGGCAGCCUUGUGCAGCAGCGCCGUGUGCGGGAUAGCGCUCUUCGUGUUGUAAAACGCCUUCGCUCAUGACGCAGCUUUGUGUGACGUUAGUAAGUAAAGAAGCACCGGCUAACUACGUG